RNAcentral lists this RNase P RNA (417 nucleotides) under Altererythrobacter sp. RNAcentral's name for it is "RNase P RNA component class A". It matches the Rfam family "Bacterial RNase P class A". Rfam says of the family: Ribonuclease P (RNase P) is a ubiquitous endoribonuclease, found in archaea, bacteria and eukarya as well as chloroplasts and mitochondria. Its best characterised activity is the generation of mature 5'-ends of tRNAs by cleaving the 5'-leader elements of precursor-tRNAs. Lineage: Bacteria; Pseudomonadati; Pseudomonadota; Alphaproteobacteria; Sphingomonadales; Erythrobacteraceae. The record is from RNAcentral.
CCAGGGGGCCGGGCAGCCGCGUGCGCGCAAGCGCUCGAGGAAAGUCCGGGCUCCACGAAGCAAGGGUGGCGGGUAACGCCCGCCUGGGGCAACCCAAGGGACAGUGCCACAGAGAGCAGACCGUCCCACCGUCCGCCCGCAAGGGCGCGGCGGGGGGAUAAGGGUGAAAGGGUGCGGUAAGAGCGCACCGGGGCUUCGGCAACGCGGCCCGCAUGGCAAACCCCACCCGGAGCAAGGCCGAAUAGGGAUCCCGCGCCUUCGCGAGAAGGCAGGGCGCUUCGCCCCAGAGGAUCCGGGUUGGCUGCUGGAGCCACGAAGCAAUUCGUGGCCUAGAUGAAUGGCUGCCGCCGCCGAUGCGGUCCGCUUUCGCGGAAACGGUCGGCGGCACAGAACCCGGCUUACAGGCCCCCUGGCACA